UGGGGUAUAGCUCAGUUGGAAGAGUGCAUGCUUCACAUGCACAAGGCCCUGGGUUCAAUCCCCAGCACCAUAU
RNAcentral lists this transfer RNA (73 nucleotides) under Marmota marmota marmota (Alpine marmot). It matches the Rfam family "tRNA". From Rfam's summary of the family: Transfer RNA (tRNA) molecules are approximately 80 nucleotides in length. Their secondary structure includes four short double-helical elements and three loops (D, anti-codon, and T loops). Further hydrogen bonds mediate the characteristic L-shaped molecular structure. tRNAs have two regions of fundamental functional importance: the anti-codon, which is responsible for specific mRNA codon recognition, and the 3' end, to which the tRNAs corresponding amino acid is attached (by aminoacyl-tRNA synthetases). tRNAs cope with the degeneracy of the genetic code in two manners: having more than one tRNA (with a specific anti-codon) for a particular amino acid; and 'wobble' base-pairing, i.e. permitting non-standard base-pairing at the 3rd anti-codon position. Lineage: Eukaryota; Metazoa; Chordata; Mammalia; Rodentia; Sciuridae. RNAcentral also lists the same sequence under 1 other name. The record is from Rfam by way of RNAcentral.